This 391-nucleotide ribosomal RNA is filed under the name uncultured bacterium. RNAcentral describes it as "bacterial SSU rRNA". It matches the Rfam family "Bacterial small subunit ribosomal RNA", at positions 28 to 412 of the family's 1533-position model. The record is from RNAcentral.
GACGAACGCUGGCGGCGCGCCUAACACAUGCAAGUCGAACGGAGAUGAUAAAAGCUUGCUUUGAUCAUCUUAGUGGCGGACGGGUGAGUAACACGUGAGCAACCUGCCUUUCAGAGGGGGAUAACGUUUGGAAACGAACGCUAAUACCGCAUAACGUAUACGGAUGGCAUCAACUGUAUACCAAAGGAGCAAUCCGCUGAAAGAUGGGCUCGCGUCCGAUUAGCUAGAUGGUGAGGUAACGGCCCACCAUGGCGACGAUCGGUAGCCGGACUGAGAGGUUGACCGGCCACAUUGGGACUGAGACACGGCCCAGACUCCUACGGGAGGCAGCAGUGAGGGAUAUUGGGCAAUGGGGGAAACCCUGACCCAGCGACGCCGCGUGAGGGAAGAC